GAGGGUAUAGCUCAAGUGGUAGAGCACAUGCUUAGCAUGCAUGAGGUCCUGGGUUCAAUCCCCAGUACCUCUU
RNAcentral lists this transfer RNA (73 nucleotides) under Camelus bactrianus (Bactrian camel). It matches the Rfam family "tRNA". From Rfam's summary of the family: Transfer RNA (tRNA) molecules are approximately 80 nucleotides in length. Their secondary structure includes four short double-helical elements and three loops (D, anti-codon, and T loops). Further hydrogen bonds mediate the characteristic L-shaped molecular structure. tRNAs have two regions of fundamental functional importance: the anti-codon, which is responsible for specific mRNA codon recognition, and the 3' end, to which the tRNAs corresponding amino acid is attached (by aminoacyl-tRNA synthetases). tRNAs cope with the degeneracy of the genetic code in two manners: having more than one tRNA (with a specific anti-codon) for a particular amino acid; and 'wobble' base-pairing, i.e. permitting non-standard base-pairing at the 3rd anti-codon position. The record is from Rfam by way of RNAcentral. Lineage: Eukaryota; Metazoa; Chordata; Mammalia; Artiodactyla; Camelidae. RNAcentral also lists the same sequence under 3 other names.